GACGUAGGGCGCGAGCGUUGUCCGGAUUUAUUGGGCGUAAAGAGCUCGUAGGCGGCUUGUCGCGUCGUUCGUGAAAACCCACAGCUCAACUGUGGGCUUGCGGUCGAUACGGGCAGGCUGGAGUUCGGUAGGGGAGACUGGAAUUCCUGGUGUAGCGGUGAAAUGCGCAGAUAUCAAGAGGAACACCAGUGGCGAAGGCGAGUCCCUGGACAAACCCUGACACUGAGGCACGAAAGCCAAGGGAGCAAACAGG
This 253-nucleotide ribosomal RNA is filed under the name uncultured bacterium. Its description in RNAcentral is "partial 16S ribosomal RNA". It matches the Rfam family "Bacterial small subunit ribosomal RNA", at positions 524 to 776 of the family's 1533-position model. The record is from RNAcentral.